UGUCCUGACUUCCUCCAAGG
RNAcentral lists this unclassified non-coding RNA (20 nucleotides) under Mus musculus (house mouse). RNAcentral describes it as "oocyte_clustered_small_RNA14070". Lineage: Eukaryota; Metazoa; Chordata; Mammalia; Rodentia; Muridae. The record is from RNAcentral.